RNAcentral lists this transfer RNA (86 nucleotides) under Halobacteriovorax sp. Its description in RNAcentral is "tRNA-Ser". It matches the Rfam family "tRNA". Rfam says of the family: Transfer RNA (tRNA) molecules are approximately 80 nucleotides in length. Their secondary structure includes four short double-helical elements and three loops (D, anti-codon, and T loops). Further hydrogen bonds mediate the characteristic L-shaped molecular structure. tRNAs have two regions of fundamental functional importance: the anti-codon, which is responsible for specific mRNA codon recognition, and the 3' end, to which the tRNAs corresponding amino acid is attached (by aminoacyl-tRNA synthetases). tRNAs cope with the degeneracy of the genetic code in two manners: having more than one tRNA (with a specific anti-codon) for a particular amino acid; and 'wobble' base-pairing, i.e. permitting non-standard base-pairing at the 3rd anti-codon position. The record is from RNAcentral. Lineage: Bacteria; Pseudomonadati; Bdellovibrionota; Bacteriovoracia; Bacteriovoracales; Halobacteriovoraceae.
GGAUAAGUGACUGAGUGGUCGAAGGUGCUUGUUUUGAAAACAAGUGUAUUUAAAAGAUACCGGGGGUUCGAAUCCCUCCUUAUCCG